GGGAUUGCCUCAGUAACGGCGAGUGAAGCGGCAACAGCUCAAAUUUGAAAUCUGGCCCUUUCGGGGUCCGAAUUGUAAUUUGUAGAGAGUGCUUCGGGCGAGGCCUCGGUCUAAGUCCAUUGGAACAUGGUGUCAUAGAGGGUGAGAAUCCCGUAUGCGACCGUGGCUCGAGCCCAUGUGAAGCCUCUUCGACGAGUCGAGUUGUUUGGGAAUGCAGCUCAAAAUGGGUGGUAAAUUUCAUCUAAAGCUAAAUACUGGCUGGAGACCGAUAGCGCACAAGUAGAGUGAUCGAAAGAUGAAAAGCACUUUGGAAAGAGAGUCAAACAGUACGUGAAAUUGUUGAAAGGGAAGCGCCUGCAACCAGACCUGCCCGUAGGCGAUCAGCCGCUGUUCUCAGCGGUGUACUCGCUCUGCGAUCAGGCCAGCAUCGGUUUCGGCGGUCGGAUAAAGGCCUUGGGAAUGUAGCUUCCCUUCGGGGGAGUCUUAUAGCCCUCGGUGCAAUGCGGCCAGCCGGGACCGAGGACCGCGCUUCGGCUAGGAUGCUGGCGUAAUGGUUGUAAGCGACCCGUCUUGAAACACGGACCAAGGAGUCUAACAUCUAUGCGAGUGUUUGGGUGUCAAACCCAUGCGCGGAAUGAAAGUGAACGGAGGUGAGAACCCUUAAGGGCGCAUCAUCGACCGAUCCAGAUGUCUUCGGAUGGAUUUGAGUAUGAGCAUAGCUGUUGGGACCCGAAAGAUGGUGAACUAUGCCUGAAUAGGGUGAAGCCAGAGGAAACUCUGGUGGAGGCUCGCAGCGGUUCUGACGUGCAAAUCGAUCGUCAAAUUUGGGUAUAGGGGCGAAAGACUAAUCGAACCA
RNAcentral lists this ribosomal RNA (856 nucleotides) under Xanthoparmelia tinctina. RNAcentral describes it as "eukaryotic LSU rRNA". It matches the Rfam family "Eukaryotic large subunit ribosomal RNA", at positions 71 to 942 of the family's 3401-position model. The record is from RNAcentral. Lineage: Eukaryota; Fungi; Ascomycota; Lecanoromycetes; Lecanorales; Parmeliaceae.